UAAAAAAUAAAAAAAAUUAAAUAUAAAAUAAAAUAAAACAAAUUAAAAAAAAUUAAAUUAAAUAAAAAAAAUUAUAAUUAUAAAAUAAAAAAAUAAAUUAUAUAAGAUAAAAAAAUAAAAAAAAUAAUAAUAAUAAAAAAAAAAAAUAAAAAGACCAAAAAUAAAAAGACCAAAAAUAAAAUAAUUUUAUUAAGGUUCUGUAAUCACUGUUCAUUUGUAGAACAACAUCAAGACGCACACCACAAAUAUAAGGAACUCGGCCAAACACCUAACAGAAGUGUCGCCGCCAAUGAUUUAUUUAUUUAUUUUAGUCUCUUAAAACUCGCACUCACUUAUAAAAAUGUAGUUUAAGUAAAUUUACAUACUCGCAACAUGCACUUUUGUUAAAAAGAAUGAAACAAACAAAAUACCAGAAACUUUAUUUACUCGUUCAUUUGCAUUAAUGAUUUUGAACUAGAAAACAUCUCAAGUUCAUUAACCUGAAAAUGUUGCAAGUUUUGGAUUUUCAAAAAGUUGCACUGUUUUCAAAAUGUCUAUUUGUGCAUGUGUGUGUAUGUAUGUGUAUAUAUAAGUGCAUGUGUAUGUGUGUGCAUGUUGCGUGCACUAUUUUUUUUUAAUUGUACGUAGUACACAUUCACCUUUGCUUAAUGCGCUGCCACUUCACUUCACUUUCGCAUUCUCCCCUCACACUGCGGCCGCUAAACUCAAUGUAAACUAAACAGAAAUUGUGUUCGACGCAUAAUAAGAUCAAUUUAAUGAGUUAAUUGAAAGAUUUAUGUGCUUUCUCAUCUACAAAGUGCAGGUAUAUACCUACAUACAUACAUAGUUCACAGUGAUACUCAUUUAUGCGUACUCACACGUAGUAAGUGGUGCACACCCCCUCCUAGACCACAUAGAUGGGCUGGUUGCUGCAGAAGUUCGAACAAACCAAAUUUCAUUAUAUUUAAGAUUAUUGAUUAAAAAGUGGCUGCGAAAGUGUGUAGGCGUGGAAACAUUUUAGAGGCAUACAUUUGUGCAUAUGAGAGUGCGUAGAAGUAUGUGUAAACAAACUUCUUAGUAUGAAUUCUUCAGUGUAUGUGUUGUAGCUUCACUGCAGGCCAGAUCAGUUAUACCAAACUAGUUCGCCUCUAGUGAAUUUAUAAGUAGCACCAUUCGCAUUAUAAACGCAUGGAUAACAAUGAUAACAAAUGAGGUUUCAGACAGGGUGACUCGCUAUCGUGUGACUUCUUUAACCUGAUGUUGGAAAAAAUUGUUCGAGCUGCAAAACUUAAUCGCUCAGUCACAAUUUUCUAUGAAAACGUUAAAUAUUAACAUCAUCGGCUUUAACAAUCACGCUGUUAGUGCUGGGGGAUAAAGAAGCAAAGCGAUUGGGUCUGGUGGUGAACGCGGACAAAACGAAGUACCUCCUGUCAUCAAACAAACAGUUGGUCCACUUGCGUAUCAUCACCCAAGUCACUGUUGACAGUUAUGAUUUCGAGGACUUCGUUUAUCUAGGAACCAGCAUUAACAAGGGUAACAAUGUCAGCCUGGAAAUCCAACGUAGAAUCUCUCUUGCCAAUAAGUGCUACUUUGGACAAAGUAGGCAAUUGAGUAGUAAAGUCCUCUCUCGACGAACAAAACUAACACUCUUUAAAGCUCUCAUCAUGCCCAUCCUAACGUAUGGCGCAGAAGUGUAGACGAUGACAACAUCCGAUGAAUCGACUGUUGGAGUGUUUGAGAGAAAGAUUCUGCGCAAGAUUUUUGGGCCUUUGCACGUUGAUGCUGGCGAUGGAACAAUCAACAAUGAGCUGUAUGAGCUUUACGAGGAUAUAGACAUAGUGUAGGGAAUAAAGCUCUAGGGGCUCCGUUCGCAUUUUGUCCGAAUGGAUACAAACGCGCCGGUUCUGAAAGUACUCGAUGCGAUACCAGCUGCUGGUAGCAGAGGAAGUGGAAGGCCUCCUCUGCGUUGGAAAGAUCAGGUGGAGUAGGACUUGGCUUCACUUGGUGUGUCGACUCGCGCGCUUUGUUAAAUUCGUAAUAUUUUGACGCCAAUAGAUCCGCUUGAAGUGCAUUUCUGCCCGCGAAAAAAGUUUCGUAAAAUACUAUACGCGUGGGUAUCAAACAUUUUUUGUUUUUUUUAAAGUGCAGGACACAAAAGAUCUUUAAGGUCUAAGUGUCGGCCAUUGCGCGCAUUACUAAUUUCAAUGUAUGUAAGAUAUACUACACCCUUUUCCCUUUGACUUAUUUCUGGCGUUUAAGUUGAAUUUUGAGUUUUCGUGUAUGAAGAGACUAAUGCUAGAAUUGUAUGGCAAAUAUUUGUAUUUGAACCCGCUAAAUCCCUCUUUUAUGAGCAUUCUGUGCCUUUUUUAGUAAAAACACAAAAAGAACCCAUUUAUUAAGAAGUUAGAGGGUUAAAAUAUUCCACGAAAAUAUUCACUGUUGUUUUUUACAUAGAACUGCUGAGCACUUCGUAUAUCUAAAAUGUUAAGAUCACUUAGUUUCCUAUGCCGAUUCUCUUAUGGUAAGAAUGUGCCAACGGGUGAAAAUUUUUUCGGUUUUUUGGUCACGCGUGAUCUGUCAAAAAAACCUAUUCGAAAAAGUACCACCCUUUGUAGGACACAAUCACCCUUUAGUAGGACACAAAACAUGCCUUAGGUCAAAGUGUCUGCCGUUGGGCACACUACAGAUACAAAAAUUAUUAUUAUAUUAGUAGUAUAGGGUGGGCCAUGUAAAUUUUGCUUUUUGAAUCGGCUAUAAGAAAAAAAACAAAUCAAAAUUUUUCCAACCUUUUUUUUUAUUUUGAAGACUGAACAUUGUCAUUUAUGAAUGAAAAAUAAUAUUGUUCAAAUGACUGCCACGUCUGGCUUUACAGUAGACCAUUCGAUCAACCCAAUUUUUAAGCACAUUUUCGACUGUUUGGGCUCCAAUUUCAUGAAUGGCAACUUCGAUUUCGUGUUUUAAAGCAUCAAUCGUCUCUGGAUGGUUCGCAUAGCUUUUGUCCUUAACGGCUCCCCACAAAAAAUAGUCCAACGGGUUUAAAUCACAGCUCCGAGGCGGCCAAUUGAUAUCGGAAUUUCGGCUGAUUAUUCGAUUUUCAAAAACGGUAGCCAAAAGUUAGAGUGUAACUUUGGCAGUGUGACAAAUUCCACCGUCCUGUUGAAAACAAAUGUCGUCCAUGUCAUCCUCUUCAAUUUUUGGAAACAACUCGUUGAGCACGUCACGGUAACGCUCACCAUUUACUGUAACCGCGGCUCCUCGCUCAUUUUCGAAAAAAAUGGCCCGUUGAUGCCGCCAGACCAAAAACCGCACCAAACAGUGACUCGUUGUGGAAGCAUUUGCUUCUCUACAGUAACGUGUGGGUUUUCUGAGCCCCAAAUCCGACAAUUUUGCUUAUUGACGUAGCCACCGAUGUGAAAAUCAGAAAAGAAGAAGAAGGCUCACCACUUUAGAAACAGGUUUUCAAUAUUUCCCAAUUUUGUUCAAGCGUAUAGCGUCCCAUUUUGUAAAUGUCAAACCUUUAAGUAAAUUAUGAACACAUUUGACAUGUCAUUUGUGUUACCAUUCUCAAAAAAAAUAGGUGGUUCAAAAAGCAAACGCUAUAUGGCCCACCCUGCAGUAGUAAUUUAGUAGUAAUUUUAUUUAUUUGUAAAUAUGGCAUCUUACAUUUCAACAGUUCAUAUAAAUAUACAAGUACAUAAAGAAAGAAAUAAUAAAUUUGUGGCAAAUGUUUCUGUCACAGCUCAAAAAUUAAUCAAAAAUUAAACUCUGCAAUACGAAAUUCUCUAUAACGUAUGGCUGGGUAUAUAAAGUAAGUUAGUCUUUUCCAAUUAUGGCCAUUAAGUAAGUAUAUACAUUACUUCUGCUUCAUUUACCUUCGCUGCGUUUAGGUAUCUUGUUCUGAUCUCCUUCAGUACCGCACAUCUUCUUAAGAAGUGCUGCAUAUCUUCUUCCUCGUUUAAAUUGCAGAAGGGUGCAUAUUUUCUGGAUAUUUCUACACAUGGUUGCAUUUUGCUUUAGUAAACUACAUCUUGCUUUGAAAAUUGCUGUAAUAUCAGCUAGUCGCAUAUCUUCUUUAAUAUAUGCUUCCUUUUUGAGUAGUCUAAAUACUUAUAAAUUCGCGUCGCGCUUGACUGUGCUUUUUGCCUUGCCAUGUUGAGAUCUUUUAUUUUCAUUUUUGUAAGAAGUUUCACACAGCGAUCUUGCCAGUUUACAGCGGUGAUGUUUUCUUCAAACUUCAGACCAAACUCCAUUCCCAUGUCGUUCAGAUGCUUAGGCCAAAACAAAUUUUUACUUAAGAUGCCUUGUGUUAGUUUGUGUGGGAGUCUGUUGCAAUUGUAUUUAUAACUGGUUUUCCAGAUAUAUAUUACUUCAUGUGUAGGAAGUAACGUUGAAGUUUGUUUGCUUCAUCUCUGCAAACUUGUGCUUCCUUUUUGAAGCCAUUCGGCUUCGCUAAAAAGUCGUUCCAUGUGCAAUUAAUAAUAGCUUUUGCUGAAGUAUUCCUGGCUUGGCACCAAGAUAUUUAUAUUCGGCCACCAAUUUAAUUUCUUCACCUUGGUACCAUUUUUCUCCCUGGGAAAGUGUUCCACCUUUUCUAUAGACAGUCAUCUCCGAUUUAUUUGGGUUUACUUCCAUAUUCCAUUCAGCGCAGUAUUUCUCCAGGUUAUUAAUCAGGGAUUGCAUGAUUUUAGGAUUAUCCGCCUGGAGAACAAUAUCAUCGACAUAAAGGAGAAGAUAGUCGUGUAAAUCAUUUAGGUAUAAAGUGAACAAUAAUGGCGAUAACAGACAUCCUUGUUUCCCACCAGUGCAGGUUUCAAAAUAGCCGGAUACUCCUUUUCCCGUUAUUAUUAUGUAUUACUAUUAACUAUUAAAAUAUCACAUUGAAUACUUAUUUGACGAUGAGAGUAAAUAUCUGUGAAAUGUAUGUAUGUAUGUAACAACAUAAAAAUUAAAAUUUUAUUCAUUGACACACUUACACUUCACAUAGAUACACGGCCAUUAUGUGACAAAAAUGUUUGACAUGUUUUUAGAAAUUGAGGGCAAAGCACAAAACUGUAGUAGUUUAUUUUAAAAAUCAAUUAAUUACAAAAGGAUGUUUAAAAAUAAACAUUUUAAAUAUCACGAUGUUAUGAAAAAAAUGAAAACUAUUUGCAUACAUACAUACAUAUGUAGGCGCACAUUCAUAAAAAUCAAUUUUGUAAACAAAUGUUUAUGAUUUCAAUAAAAACUUUGCUUCGUUUUUGCUGACGCCGCGACUUUGGUGGAAUUUAGUUGAUGGCUGAACAGCUGUGGAGUGACUAAUAAAAAAUGUCUAUCAAAAUAAAUAAAUUUAAUCUUAAAGAAGAACUAAUGUUCUCGAAAUUUGUUAAUAAGAUUAAUAAGAAUAGCGACAAAAAGCGGAAAAUUCAUGAACUCUCAGCAUUGAUGGCGAUUUCGGUCAAAACAACUUGUUUACACGGUCUCGUCUACUUCGGAAACGUUGUAAUAAUUUGCUUUGUUGAUUUGCUUUGUUGCAUUGCGUCAUAUCAGGCAGGCAACAACAACAGUUGGUAGUGACAGUAAUGCAUAGUGUUUUGAGUCAGUGUUGGCAUAUUACAUUGAAAUACUUACUAAUAGACGCAAAGGAAAAAUGUUGUAGGCGUUCAAUCACUGCAGUUGGCUGUGUAAAUCAAAAUUUAAAUGACAAUAAAGUUUAUUUUCGAAUUUUUUGUGGCUACGAAUAGGGAUUGGAAUGAGCAACAUAUCACACUGUGCAUAUAAAGGGGCUGUUGGGUGCCAUACAUUCACUUGGAGACAAUGCGCGCUGCGCUUAGCGGUCCUUAUCAACAUUCAAAGCCACUGCCAGAAGUCAGAAUUUAAAAAAAAAAUUGUAUUUUUGUUUUGCAUUUUAUUAAUAAAAUAUCUUAGAAAUAUAGUUAGGGAGUUCACAAAGUGUACUAUUGAUGCUAUUUCUCCCUUCUGCUAUUGAAAUAGCACAGUUGUAUAGUCGAACGUGUGAACAUCCUUUGCUAUUUGAUGUACUAUUGUGAAUGCUAUUCACCCAAUCAAUCAGCUGCUUAGCAGAAGUGAAAGUAAUACAAAAUAUAAAUAUAAACAUAAAAAUGCCUAGGAGGAGCGAAAAAAGUAAAAUAAUAGCAGCGAUUUGUCAAAAAUAUACACACGACAUCUUCAUUGUGGACGAGAGUGAUGAAGACGAGCAGGAAGAUAUCGAUGAAAGUUUCAGACUGAAUAUGCUGAUAUUGCUAAACAAUCGCCGAGGUGUCCAUUUAGGAAUUCCUAAGCCAAACCAAUGGAAGCUGAAUGUAUUGGAGCAUUUAGAUGAAAACAGAUUUUGCCAAAUGCUGCGAGUAAACCAAAUGGAGUUUGACCACCUUUUAAUCUUAGUAAAAGAUGAUGAUGUGUUUCGGAGUGAUAACAACACAAUACAGCUUCCGAUUGAACUUCAGCUUAAAAUCGUACUUUAUAGGUUGGGAUCUUCCGGUGAAGGACUUUCGAUCCGUAAAGUGGCAUCCUUAUUUGGUGUUGGAGAUGGCGGUACCAUUCAAAUCGUAACCAGGCGAGUUUUUUCAGCUAUACUCAAUUUAAAGGGUAGAUUUUUAUUCUGGCCCAAUGAAAGAGAGCGUUUAAAGCUGGUUGCAGCCACAGAAAAAGAAAUGCCUGGAUGUGUUGGAUUUUGCACAAAUUGUGAUGGUAAACAAAAUCAGCUGAUCGUAUAGCAUAGACAAAUAGCACACUAAACAUACCUUUUAAAGUUGUAUUGAAAUAACAGUAUUUGUACAUGUUAAACAAAAACAACAACUUUACAACUGUGCUAAUACAAUAGCAUGAUUAAAGAAAUACGACAAAUAGUACAUAUUGUGAACUCCCUAAAUGUGAAAAUUUGAAGUGAAUCCGACAAAUAUUUUUCGAGUUAUUCAACAAUGAACAAAGGGCGCUCGGGCGCUCCGGAGCGUUCACAAAAUUUUGAAUGCGUUUUUCUCAAAACUAUGUUUUUUGAACUGGUGAUCACUGUAUCUUUAAAACCGCUUGGUAGAUUUCAAUAAAAUUUAUACUGCUUUUGAAAAACAUAAAAAAAAAUCGUGCCUGAUUGAAGGAUUUUCUUUUUUUUUCAAAAAUUUCGAUUUUGUUUUAAACAAUUAACUGUCGGUUUUUUUCUCGAAAAUCCGAAAAAAUAUUUCCUCAGGCCGCCAUAUUGUUAAUUUUCAAAAAAAAUGCUUCGAUCAAACACAAGAUUAUCUAUUAAUAAAACUAAUUUCUCUUGUCCGAUUCAUUUGAAUCUUCAAGGACUUGUGAUUAUCACCGUAAGGGACUUCUGGCGAAACGGGCUCCACACAAACAGCGAUAACUUUUACAAUUUUUUUUUAUUUUUUUUGAUUUUUUUUUUUUUGAAAUUUUGCUAAAGUCAAGUCGACAGAUGAUGCAUUAAUGCUAUGUUUUAAUUUUUAUAAAAAAUUUGUAAAAAAAAAAAUUAUUGAAAAUUAAAAUUUUUUCGAGCCUCUGAUACCAUUAUGAAACCAUUAUGAUACCAUUAUGAAAUCAACCGCUGUUGGUGGCUGUUGAUGUAAUGGAGCAGAUUUAUGGGAUUUAGGUUGGAGCAGUCUCCAGUCUGUCGAAGAGAGGAGCACGCAGUGAUUUUAAUCGUCUACCUGCCAUGCCUGGCCAUUUACAGAGAAAGUGCUCAACAGUCUUCUUCUCUGAAAGGCCCCCACAGCUUCUACAAUGGGUGCUAAAUGAAGCUGAAAUGAAUCUAGCUUUUGCGCGUGCAUGCCGAUCGUUCAAUAAUCGGUAAACACAGCCACGAAUUUGGAAAUUUAAUGACGUGGAGUUCACAGGACUUUCUGUGUCCUCCGCCUUUUGUACUGAGGCCAAAGAGUUUUCGAAAUAGCACAGGAAUAAAUGGAACUUCAUCUCUUUUACGCUUUUCUGUGAAAUAAGAGGUCCGAUUCCACUUUAACACCAGUCAGAGACAUGGCGAUGACCGCGCAGGAGGUCACUCAGACCAAUUCAGUCGACCCCCUCUUGGCAAGCUCAUCAGCAAUUUCAUUUGCUUCAAGUUCUAAUUUCCUGGCAUCCAGAUAAGAGAAAUAUUACCUGCAUACUCAAUAGAUUUGAUCUCCUCCCCCUGCUCCGAUUCCAUCUUGCAGUCGUAGUUUCAAACUUUGUGCAAUUUUUAUCGGAAGCAUAGCGUGGGUUUUGGAACAAGACGUGAUUAACAACUUCUUACUUAUCCGUGCAGAUUGGGCAGUUUCGUGAACUGUUAUGACCAAAUCUAUGGAGGUAUUUUAUAAAUAUCCCGAGCCCUGAAACGAAUUGAGUUAGGUAGAAAUUUGUUCUCUCAUAGGAUCAUACCCCCUUAAGGGUGGGUAUUCAGUUGUAUGUCCAUCUCUACCCUUGGGGGAUCUGUUCCACCGGUCUUGCCGCUGUAUAUUGUCUUAAUUUCUUUUGCCAAAAUAUCUGGCGGGUUUGUCGGGAAUCGAGAUAUGCCACGAGGUGUACAUACAUACGUAUGUAUCCUAUAGAUGGCCUGCUGCGUUUUGAAUAUGCCAACCUGUUAAGAAUGUCCGAAUUUUUCUACUUAGUUAUUCUACUACUUACAUACACAAGGUGGCGCAAAAUUAAUCACUCAGUUUAUAAUUUUUCAAAAUCCGCCUGCUGUAUAGAAAUAGACAAGCAAUGGAAGCCCUUAAAGUCCAUCACUCAAAAUCAUUUUCUUCUUAUUUAGUUAAAAAGUUAUUCAAAAACAAACCCGAUGACCAGUUAUGCGCCACCUUGUAUGUAUGUAUGUUUGUAUGUACGCACGAACAAUUUCUGUGUCUUCUCUGGGAGUUUUAAAUAGGGAGUUUACCUUUAGCCUAAUUCGCCUUUGCGUUGAACAAUUCACAGAAAUACAAUAAUAUUUUUAACACCAGCCGAACCCUGUUGAGGUAGCUCUUUAAAAUGCUGUCUACCCCACCCCCUCAGCUGUGUUGCUUGUGUAGGCGUGUUGCUAACCAAUUAGUGCGCUGCCAAUUGCCUCCGACGCGACGGCAUUCACAUGCUCGCGCAUUACAAAGCGGAUUACUUAAGUAAUCGCAUGCGAAGUAAACAAAUCCAUACGUACGUGCAUACAAAUGUAUGUGCAUACAUUUACAAGCAUAAGCAACGCAGAGAAAAACUUUGAAGAAAACCUUGACUUGAUUUCGCUAAUUUCGGCUAGAGUGAGCAAAGCACAAAAACAAGCAGUUAAAAUGAAUAAAAUGCCAAAGGCUUAUAGAAACGCGCUAGUAAAUCACAAGAACAACAAAAAAUACAACAAUAUACAACAACAACACCAAGUUGCAUGUUUAUGGCAUACUUAUCUUUCAAAGCAUCUAUGUCAGCUGAAGCCACUGCCUGCCACUCUGCCAUCACCAUCACCGUCCACCGUCACUGGCGUUGUAAAGACGACAAACAAAAGCUCGCGAAAUCCUCGCAAAUCGGCUGCAAUUAAUUGCUGCAAACAAAGUGAUUAAAUUUGAAAUUUAUCAUAUUUAUUAUUAGUCAUAGCGCAGCUUUUAGAAAAAAAAAUAGUAAAAAAAAUACUUAUAUAUCAAGUAAUAAUUUUCCAUUUGAAUGCUUACAAGCCAACUAAAUUCUUAUCCAAGGCAAAUUCAGCUCCCACCCACACUUCAAUUUUUCGUCAACUUUGUUUUUGUUUGUUUUUUGUUCUUACGUUUAAAAAUAUAACGCAGCACGACAUAAAAACUAAAAACUAAAAAGAAAAAAAUUCUUUCUCGCAAUUCUUGAAAAUGCCAUUUGAAUAUUACCACCGUGUUCCAACAAUAAACCAAUGCCUGAUGUCAAGGGGAAGUUGCUGCAAACAACACUUCAAUACUCGCAUACACGCGCGUAUGGAAUUUUCUGACACAUUUUACAGUUUUAUAGUCUUUUACAUGUCGUAAAUUAUUGAGUUACCUAAUUUUCGAAACAUCCUCUGGCAUAUACCCCGAGUUUUUUUGUCUUUAAUUUUAUUGCUGCUAUAACGCGGCCUAUCGCCUGCGCCCUUCUAUUACCGGUUUCCAUGGCGACUUUCUACGCGCUCACGUAUGCCACUUAGAAAGUGUAACAUUUUCGAUAUUCUUCUGUCAACUGCACUGUAAUUUGUUUGUCAUCUAAAUACUGGUGUAGGUUGGGCUGCAGACAGGCCUAUUUUUAUACAGGUUUGUGGGAGAAGAGCCGCGCCAGUGUGUGGUGUGUGUGUGUGUGUAUUAGGACAUUCAAAAAUGAUUUAUGUUUAAUGCUUUGGUAUAAAAGUUUAGUUAAUAUUUUAAUUUGUUUCGUAUGAAAGUCGCCGCAUAAGUGUCCAAAAAGUUUAUAAAUAUAGAGGCUUCUCAAUAAGAUAAAAAAUAACUUUUCUUUUGAGAGCAGUAAGAGCAGUUUUGUCGCUUCAAACGAUGAAGAGGCCCCAAUUUUUCAAUUAACUUGAUUUUGUAUUUAUGCGUUGAAUCCAAUAACUUUAUGCUAAAAUCGCUACAAUGUGGUCUGAGAGAUCAAAUUCUCAAUUCUUGUGAGCGACGUGAAAUUUCCUACUUCCAGGCUAACUUAAACUUACAGAAAGUUCUCUAAUGUUUGCGCUACCUACACUCAGUACUUAGUUUAAUGUGACAUCAAGCAUCUACUUGAAGAAGGCAAACAUUUAUUAUAGCAAGCGUGUAGGUUUGGAAACCUUCUUAGCCGCUCAGGAGUAACAAUCACGUAUGCUGACGAUAUCGCAAAAGUGGCGAGGAACAAAAGGUAUCCACUUGAAACCUUCCGUAACAUUGAAAGUCGCUCAAAAGCAGUAGAUCUUAAAAUAAAUGGAGGCAAAAUGAAAUAUCUGAAGAUAUCGCACAUCGAAGAGAGACAAAAUCUCGAAAACAUGGAAAUCUUUUGCGAGUGUUGAGCACCUUAAACACCUGGGAGCUCUAAUAAAAAAAAACAGAUCGCAGUCAUGAGGCAAUACACAAAAAUAUGCUGUAGUCUUAACUGUUUACUACACCUAAAUGUAAAUUUCACCUCAAAGACGAAGUGAGCUUAAAAGCUUUUGAAAGAAUAGUACUUCGAAUUGUGUUUGGUCCCAUACGUUGCAACGAUGGAACGUAUUGAAUACGCUAUAACGACGAAUUGCUGAACUUUUGUCGGGAAGAAGAUGUCGUUAAACAUACAAAAUCCACAAGUAGGUAGGUUAGGUUAUUUAGGUUGCUUGUCUAAGACAAGAUACUCUGUGGCUUUAAGGUCCCUUCAAAGAAAUAAUCGCCUAGAUAUUUGGCACGGCUUCUUUGAAGUGCAGGAUAUUCACAGAGGAGGUGUUUCACCAACUCGAUUUCUACUUCAUCUCUACAGCUCUUUCAGAAGUCAUUGUGAGGCACAUCCAUUCUACUGGCUAAGAUGCCAAUAGCGCAGUGACUCGUUGUAACUCCUGUGAGGGCGUUGAUAGUAGAUCUGCUGAAUGCAAGCAUAUAAUUUGUCCUUUUAAGAUUUAAAUUUGGUUAGAGUGCUUUGGAGAGCCUGCAUUUAGUAGUCAGAGACCACCUUCUACUGGUUUUCUCGAUUAAGCUCAGGUCAAUCGCAUUGUAUAACUCGUUUAGAGGAAUACUUAUGCCCUGUACCACUCGCUGAAGGUCCAGCUCAGAGCCUAUCCUUGUACACUCAUCUCCUCUUUUAUUUCCCUCCACUCUAGAGUGGCCGUGGACCCACCAAAGUGUGGGGCUGUGUGUUUGGGAUAAGCGAGAGCGGCCUUCUGCAUUUUUUAACACAGUUUGAAUUGAUGCCACUGUUUUGAUCGCUGAUUGACCAUCAACAAAAAUGGUAAGGGUUGCUGAAGGUAAGACCAUUAGUCGUUUUUGCUGCUUUGUCUAUAGCGUAGAUCUCAGCUUGGAAGACGCUACACCGGUUUGGGAGUCUAAAGGAACAAUUUAAUUAUCAUUCAUCCAUCUUUAAGCCGUCAGUAUAAAUAUGGUGACCAAUCCUUCCUGUCGGCGGCGCCGUGGCCGAAUGAGUUGGUGCGUGACUACCAUUCGAAAUUCAGAGAGAGAACAUUGGUUCGUAUCUCGGUGAAAGAUCAAAAUUAAGAAAACGUUUUUUCUAAUAGCGGUCGCCCCUCGGCAGGUCCGAGUGUAUUUCUGGCAUGAAAAAGCUCCUCAUAAAAAAUAUAUCCGCCGUUCGCAGUCGACUUGAAACUGUAGGUACCUCCAUUUGUGGAACAACAUCCAUUUGUGGAACAACAUCUAGAAGCACACCACAGAUAGGAGGAGGAGCUCGGCCAAACACCCAAAAAGGGUGUACGCGCCAAUUAUAUAUAUAUAUAAUCCUUCCUGUCAGAUAUGCGUAUUUUAUAGUCUGUGUUCAGAUCUAUCUUGGGAACCAGAUAGUCUGUUUUCAAUGCGUCUUGCAAGUGUACCACAGAUGAUUGAACUGAUACAUGACCGUUUAGUUUACAUAUGUAUAUAUCAAUGGGUGGAAUAUGUAGGAUCACUUCCAGCGCAGUCUGAGCCGUCGAUCGGAGCGCACCUGUUAUUCCUACACAAGUUAAUCGUUGGACUUUUAUGAGAUUCUUUAGGUAGGAUUGUGUCUGCACCGUCUCACACCACACGAAAGCUCAAUAAGUCAAGAUGGGUCUGAUGAUUGUAUUGUACGCUCUGAGAUUGAUGUACUGUUUCUUUAUCCGUUCCCUGGUGUUCUUUUUCCAACAAAAAUUUCAGUACAGAAUUAUGACAAGCUACUUGGCUUCAUUCGAUAAGGUUAGUAUUACUCCAUCUACAGACGGUAACUGAAAACUCGGUAUCUAUAUCUUCUAGUGAACAGAAAUAGUUCGGUCUUGGCUGGAUUAACCAUUAGACCGUUUGAAGUCGCCCACUUGGAGAGUUCCCUUGACGCUGAUUGCAUAAGCCCGAGUCGAGAGAAAUUUCCUUGUCAUCAGGAUGACUACAUCGUCUGCAUAACCAACUGUCUUGAUCCUUUUCUUGUUACCACAUAACAAAUAUUGCAAAAAAGUAUCAAGACAAGUAUCAAGUACAAGUCUCGUAAAAAGCAUCGAGUAAAAAAAAAACGAAUUGCUUCGAGAGAAAAGUAUCGAGUAGGUGCAGGUAUCGGUGAAUAACUAGUGGAACCUCGAAAUGGAAUCUGAAACGAGCUUGGAACACGCACGUAUUCUCUAAGAAGUGAGGAUACAACCAUUGAAAAUUGUCUAAUAUGAAGAGAUGUAAUUCACCUCCUCUGUAAGUGACCUUUAUUGUGCAGAAGUAAUUACUAAUAAAUUUUGAAUUCUUGCAUUUUAAAAAUUCGCAUGCCAACGUGCCAUUGGGUUCCUAAAGGGUUUAAGAGUGCAAUUGACUAAAAUAGAAAUGUCACUUGGCCAUACAAACAUACAUACAUAUUUACAUAGCCGUUGGAUUGGACGAUGCAACACUAAACUAUUCGUAUUCGUUUUGUUGUUGGCUUUGCAACAUAAAUUUUCCGUUCCGUUAAAUUAUUUUCCACGCAUAAUUACCAAAAUAUGUGAGGAAAACUUGCAAUCUAGAACAACAUGCGAGUACAAACAAGAAAUUAGCUUUUCAUAAACAAACAAACAAUUAUGAGCGCCUUAUCUCGCAUGUCGUCCGCACACAUAUUGCACGACGCUAUGUGUGUAUGUAUGCGUGCACUUAUGGCUUAUGCCAGCUAACGCGCUAGUGGAUGGCAUACUAUCACAAAAAAAAAAACAACAAAAAAAAAGGAAAAGAAAAAACGCAAAAAAAAAAAAGAAAACAGCAAAAGAAACAGAAACAGAAGCUAAAUCAACAACAAUAACAACCAAAAGUUAUAAUCAAGUGCUGUAGUGUCUGAGUUUCAUGUGUGGGUGUGUUGGGCUACACAUUUCACUCGCACACAUGUACAUACGUGCCAUACUAAGCAUGUGCGUGGUAUGUAUGGAUGUGCACACACACACAUAUGGACAUAAGUAAAACUUAUGCAGUUAGAAGCACAAUAUUUCUUUCGUGGUUGCUCCCGUUUUUGCGGAUGUGCGAACGCCGUCACUAUACUCGCCGUAUGCUGUGGCGUUCAGCAAAAUGCAAAUACAUACGAAUACCAGCUCUACAUAAUACUACACACACACACACGUAUACGCAGCAAUGCUAGUGGCCAUUCUAUUUCAUACUAUAUGCGCGCAUUCUAACAAGCGCCAGAGUGCCAGCAACAGUCUGCCUCAAACGGCUAAAUGCCGUUGUUGCCAUUGCUACCCAUUGCUCGUGGUUGUUUUUUUUUUUAUUCUUGCUGCUGCUGCUAGUUUGGGGGCGUUGUUGAUAAAUUGAAAACAUUUGCUUGCAAUCUGCCACAUGAAGGCUACGCACCUGCCUUGCACGCGCCCGCACUCUCUCCUCCGCUAGAUCGGCACAUCACGGGCAACAUAACUUACCUGGUUGCGUUGCAAUUGCUGGCUGACGGACUGACUGACUAAGUAGUUGGGGCAAUGUGGUCACAUUACUGGCAAAAUUGUUGUGGCAAAGUUUUCUGCGUUGAUUUCACUUCAUUUCUCUUGCAGCCUCUGGGUGCCACAAAAUGUGAGUGCGUACUGGCGAAACAAGUUUGAAGCAGUCAUACGAGUAAGUUGCUGUAGGGUGUGAGAGUGUUUGCUUUAAGGUACUCGUAUACAAUAGCAUUAAGCUGAAUGAACGUUUGAUUUUGUUGUGGAUGUAUUUAGUGCGUCGUUUUUUUCAAAUUUGUGCUUGAAUUCAGCCGAUAGCAGCCAAUAGCUAUCAAUUAGCACUUCGUUUGUUUUUUAAUCGGAACUCAAUCAUUCUUCGCGCCUGUAAAUAUGCAACUCUCAGCAGCAACAAGUGCACUAUUUGGUUAUUAUUUCAUUCGUCUGGUAUAUGUCUGCACCUCUCAACUGCCUUAUGAAAUGGCAAUCAGUCUCACUAUAUUUUCCCUCUCAAUAGUAUGACUUCGCCCACAUCUCCGUAUGGCUGAAAAUUUUCCAAAACUUUCCUACAAGAGAACAUAGGAGAGAUCCAGACACUAUUUUGCGAAGUUCGGCAUGAAUUUUCUGCAUCGACGACUCCAAGACUGAAAAUGGUGCUGGGGAGGGCUGACAUUUGGACACUAACUUCAGAUGCUUUAGGUAUAGUAAACACGAUGUCUCAAUCGGUAGUCUUUGCAAUACUUAAAGACUAGACUGAGGUCUAUAGUGACAUCCAAAUGGCUCUAAAAUAAAAUACUAAAAACAACUCGCACCUUUUCAAAAAUUUUCCAGGAAUACCAAUUGAAGCCAAAUUCUGUUAAAAGUCCGAAUGAGCUUUAAUUUAUGUGGUUGGCGGAAUACUGUGGUGUUCAACACAACGAACUGGCUAAUGAAUUGGUAAACUGCGGUUCUUUGGGGCGCCCAAUUCAACUGGAGCCAAUUUUAGACCCAAGCAUCGCGGAAACAGGCGGGUAACAAAGCUCAUGAGAACCGUUGGUGCAGUACCUGACACAUACAAAACAAUCAAGCGUUUUCUGGAGAUGCCUAAAAGGGUAGUGGCAAAAUUCCUCGUCAGACAGGGUAGGAGCGAGCUACGAGCCUUGAGAGGACUGCUUGCAGGACACACUUCAUGGGGGCGACAUAUGGUCACCAUAGGAAUCGCUAAAACAGGCAGGUACUCAAGGCGGGUAACAAAGCUUAUGAGAGCCGCUGGUGCAGUACUGACAUACGCAAAACAACCAAGCGUUUUAUGAAAAGAAUGGAUAGGGUAGUAGCAAGUUUCCUUCUCAGACAGAGGAAUAGUGAGUUACGAGCUAUUAUAAGGGGCAACAUGUGGUCACCAUAGGCAUCAUCGACGAGCCAUUGUCUACAUCUUCUUUGGGGGAUGAGCAUUGUACAGAACAUUUUCUGCGUUGAUGUCUGGCUUUUGCCAGACUUAGGCGGUACAUCUUUGGGGCGAAUGUAUUGAAACAGGACGAGUUGCAUUUUCUUUCCUUCGACGAACUGCUAAGAUUCAUAAAAAAAAUUCUGGCAAAUUUGCAGAAGAGCAAUAAGUUUCAAACCCACCAGUCCCUCCCUAUUUAUUCUUCAAAUCCUCUCUGUUCUUAAGUCCAUGGCGGAAAUAUUGCCUGGGUGCUUCUAAAAAUUUUCGGUUAUUGCAUAUACGAGUUCUGUCCUGCGAGCUUGCCGAUUAUUGCGAGUGCUCGAGACGGUUACUAAAUAUUAACAACAAAUAUUAACGGAAUUCGAUGCAAUGGUAUCAACGCUUAUGUAAAUCAAAAUAAUCAAAAGCAAAAAAAAAAAAAAAAAAAAAAAUCAAAA
Anastrepha ludens (Mexican fruit fly) is the source of this 16234-nucleotide long non-coding RNA. RefSeq lists it as uncharacterized. The record is from RefSeq and is a predicted model, not a curated record. Lineage: Eukaryota; Metazoa; Arthropoda; Insecta; Diptera; Tephritidae. The transcript is spliced from 2 exons.